GUGUCAGCAGCCGCGGUAAUACGUAGGUGGCGAGCGUUGUCCGGAAUCAUUGGGCGUAAAGAGCGCGUAGGUGGCUUGUCAGGUCCGGUGUGAAAUCCUGGGGCUCAACUCCAGGCGUGCAUCGGAAACCGGCUUGCUAGAGUCUGGGAGAGGAGAGUGGAAUUCCUGGUGUAGCGGUGAAAUGCGUAGAUAUCAGGAGGAACACCAGUAGCGAAGGCGGCUCUCUGGAACAGUACUGACACUGAGGCGCGAAAGCUAGGGGAGCGAACAGGAUUAGAAACCCUCGUAGUCC
RNAcentral lists this ribosomal RNA (292 nucleotides) under uncultured bacterium. Its description in RNAcentral is "partial 16S ribosomal RNA". It matches the Rfam family "Bacterial small subunit ribosomal RNA", at positions 505 to 796 of the family's 1533-position model. The record is from RNAcentral.